This 305-nucleotide ribosomal RNA is filed under the name uncultured bacterium. RNAcentral's name for it is "bacterial SSU rRNA". It matches the Rfam family "Bacterial small subunit ribosomal RNA", at positions 333 to 655 of the family's 1533-position model. The record is from RNAcentral.
GGUCUCCUACGGGGCGCAGCAGUCGGGAAUAUUGCGCAAUGGAGGAAACUCUGACGCAGUGACGCCGCGUAUAGGAAGAAGGUUUUCGGAUUGUAAACUAUUGUCGUGAGGGAAGGAAUUGACAGUACCUCAGGAGGAAGCUCCGGCUAACUAUGUGCCAGCAGCCGCGGUAAUACAUAGGGAGCAAGCGUUAUCCGGAUUUAUUGGGUGUAAAGGGUGCGUAGACGGGAAAUUAAGUUAGUUGUGAAAUCCCUCGUCUUAACUGAGGAACUGCACCUAAAAUUGAUUUUUUUGAGUACUGUAGG